CAGUCGUAAAAUGUACCUAUAAAAGAUAUAAGAUGUUGUGAUUGAAAGCUAUUACUUACAACACCUUCACCAUGUUGAGAGUUACGCUGUUUUUUGUCAUCUUCUUUUCUGCAGUACUAUUAGGUUCAGCGUUGGAGAAAGGCCAGAUUUGUGUUCCUGGAACGACGUUUGUAAAAAACGGCAACAAUUGCCUUUGUAAUAAAGAUGGAACUGGAAUGUCCUGUACACCGAAAAAAGGUUAACAUUUUGAGAGCAAAAAAAAGUUGUAAUAAAUCAUUGUAUGGAUGAACAACAGA
This is a long non-coding RNA of Macrosteles quadrilineatus (aster leafhopper), 296 nucleotides long. RefSeq lists it as uncharacterized. Lineage: Eukaryota; Metazoa; Arthropoda; Insecta; Hemiptera; Cicadellidae. The transcript is spliced from 3 exons. The record is from RefSeq and is a predicted model, not a curated record.